ACUCAAAGGAAUAGACGGGGGCCCGCACAAGCGGUGGAGUAUGUGGUUUAAUUCGAAGCAACGCGAAGAACCUUACCUGGGUUUGACAUCCUCUGAAGACGGUAGAGAUACCGGGGGCUCGCAAGAGACAGAGAGACAGGUGCUGCAUGGCUGUCGUCAGCUCGUGUCGUGAGAUGUUGGGUUAAGUCCCGCAACGAGCGCAACCCUUAUCCUUAGUUGCCAUCAUUAAGUUGGGUACUUUAAGGAGACUGCCGGUGAUAAACCGGAGGAAGGUGGGGAUGACGUCAAGUCCUCAUGGCCCUUACGUCCAGGGCUACACACGUACUACAAUGGCCAAGACAAAGCGAAGCAACGUCGCAAGGCAGAGCAAAACGCAAAAACAUGGUCUCAGUUCGGAUUGUGGUCUGCAACUCGACCACAUGAAGUUGGAAUCGCUAGUAAUCGCGGAUCAGCAAGCCGCGGUGAAUACGUUCCCGGGCCUUGCACACACCGCCCGU
RNAcentral lists this ribosomal RNA (497 nucleotides) under uncultured bacterium. RNAcentral's name for it is "partial 16S ribosomal RNA". It matches the Rfam family "Bacterial small subunit ribosomal RNA", at positions 899 to 1397 of the family's 1533-position model. The record is from RNAcentral.